This 492-nucleotide ribosomal RNA is filed under the name uncultured bacterium. Its description in RNAcentral is "partial 16S ribosomal RNA". It matches the Rfam family "Bacterial small subunit ribosomal RNA", at positions 29 to 507 of the family's 1533-position model. The record is from RNAcentral.
AGUGAACGCUGGCGGUAGGCCUAACACAUGCAAGUCGAACGGCAGCACAGUAAGAGCUUGCUCUUACGGGUGGCGAGUGGCGGACGGGUGAGGAAUACAUCGGAAUCUACUUUUUCGUGGGGGAUAACGUAGGGAAACUUACGCUAAUACCGCAUACGACCUACGGGUGAAAGCAGGGGAUCUUCGUACCUUGCGCGAUUGAAUGAGCCGAUGUCGGAUUAGCUAGUUGGCGGGGUAAAGGCCCACCAAGGCGACGAUCCGUAGCUGGUCUGAGAGGAUGAUCAGCCACACUGGAACUGAGACACGGUCCAGACGCCUACGGGAGGCAGCAGUGGGGAAUAUUGGACAAUGGGCGCAAGCAUGAUCCAGCAAUACCGCGUGGGUGAAGAAGGCCUUCGGGUUGUAAAGCCCUUUUGUUGGGAAAGAAAAGCAGCAGGUUAAUACCCCGCUGUUCUGACGGUACCCAAAGAAUAAGCACCGGCUAACUUCGUG